AUUUGAUGAUUUCUAGAUGACGAGUCUUAUUCGAGUUUUCGAUGCAGACAACAUCUUUUUUAUACCAUUCAUGCUUUCCUGAAA
RNAcentral lists this small nucleolar RNA (84 nucleotides) under Aspergillus versicolor CBS 583.65. Lineage: Eukaryota; Fungi; Ascomycota; Eurotiomycetes; Eurotiales; Aspergillaceae. The record is from RNAcentral.